RNAcentral lists this unclassified non-coding RNA (253 nucleotides) under Uncultured Salinisphaeraceae bacterium. RNAcentral describes it as "contains 16S-23S intergenic spacer region". It matches the Rfam family "Bacterial small subunit ribosomal RNA", at positions 524 to 776 of the family's 1533-position model. Lineage: Bacteria; Pseudomonadati; Pseudomonadota; Gammaproteobacteria; Salinisphaerales; Salinisphaeraceae. The record is from RNAcentral.
UACGGAGGGUGCAAGCGUUAAUCGGAUUUACUGGGCGUAAAGCGUGCGUAGGCGGCUUGGUAAGUCGGAUGUGAAAUCCCAGGGCUCAACCUUGGAAUUGCAUCCGAUACUGUCAAGCUAGAGUUCGGUAGAGGUUGGUGGAAUUCCCGGUGUAGCGGUGAAAUGCGUAGAUAUCGGGAGGAACAUCGAUGGCGAAGGCAACCAACUGGGCCUGAACUGACGCUGAGGUACGAAAGCGUGGGGAGCAAACAGG